Molecule: ribosomal RNA, 357 nt
Filed under: uncultured bacterium
Lineage: Bacteria
Description: bacterial SSU rRNA
Rfam family: Bacterial small subunit ribosomal RNA
Source: RNAcentral
AAUCAACGCUGGCGGCGUGCCUCAGACAUGCAAGUCGAACGCGAAAGUCCCCUUCGGGGGACAAGUAGAGUGGCGCACGGGUGAGUAACACGUAGGUAAUCUACCUUCGGAUGGGGAAUAACAGCCGGAAACGGUUGCUAAUACCGCAUAAUGCAGCGGCACCUAAUGGUGACAGUUGUUAAAGCGGGGGAUCGAAAGACCUCGCGUCUGAAGAGGAGCCUGCGGCGGAUUAGCUAGUUGGUAAGGUAACGGCUUACCAAGGCGACGAUCCGUAGCCGGCCUGAGAGGGCGGUCGGCCACACUGACACUGACAUACGGGUCAGACUCCUACGGGAGGCAGCAGUCGGGAAUUUUGGG